Heterocephalus glaber (naked mole-rat) is the source of this 3979-nucleotide long non-coding RNA. The record is from Ensembl. Lineage: Eukaryota; Metazoa; Chordata; Mammalia; Rodentia; Bathyergidae.
UUCAGAAGCUCUUGCUUUACAAAGAAGGCCUCAAGAGCUGAUCCCAAGCCUUAUAAUCCCAUACCCAAAGCUCAUCCCACUGGAUGAGGAGUGUUCCAUGGAUAAGACCCUAUCUGUUAAGAUGCUGGAGCCUGAGAGAUCAGGCAUUUACCUGAUAAAGUAGACAGCUGUAGGAGGCCUUUUCUUGAGGAUAAUCUUAUGCAGAGGAUGGGUACUAGGAAGAGGGCACAGGGCCCCAGAGAAAGAGGCAUCAGUGUUCAGGAGAUUCUCAUUUCCAUCAUGGACACCCCAAAUAAUCAUCCCUCAAAAGAAAUGAUAAAACAAUCAGACUAUUCAGACAAAAUCAAGCAAAUGGUUGCCACUUUGACUCCUCAUUCCUCAUCCAAUUAUCUAUCUUUUCCUACCAGGAGACUCUAGGAACCCCCAGAGAACCCCUGGCAACCUUUGGAAACCUUGGCCCUAAAGGAGCUAUGUCAGGUUUCCAUGAAGACCCUAGGAGUCCUGCUGGUUCCCUAACAUUUUCACAGCAGUCCUGAGUCAGGUACUCCAGCAAGAGGUUGGAAAGUGUCACUCUUAUGAUGCAAGGACUACCUUGGUGAUGCUGGAUACCCAUUCCACAUGCUCCCAGCUGUGACAAGCAUCAACAGGAGAAAUUUGGCAUCAAGAGGCAGAAGCCUGGGUAUCACCUCUCCAUGCCACCUAGAAAGCUUUGCUCAUAGACAGGCUGCAGCAUCCAGGGCACAAAGAACGUAAAAGCCUAGUGUGGACUUUGAGAAGGGUAUGACGUGAGAAGACAUUCGCUGCACUCUGGUACUGCUGAGACAUCCUGACAAGAGUUACAGGGUUCCAAACAGACUUGGAUGGUGACAUCAGAAGUGGCAACAUGUUUCUUCAAUGAUGGACUUCAAUGACUAUUAAUUGCAGCCUGCCAUAACUGCAGGACCUGGAGAAGGCAGACCCCUGUGGGUUAACAUAUCUGCAUCACUUUGGCUACAAUACAGUUACAGCUUUCUACAUAUGCCAUGACCUGAACAGUAUUGGGAGACUUGCCUGUUAUUCUUUCAGCAAACCAGUUACAACUGGAAUUUAUAAAAUGGAAUUGGAUUGGCUAAGACAAUGACAUUUCUUAUCUAUUGCCUCAGAAAAGCAAGUCAUCACUUCUCUUGUUUAACUAGGUGUUUCACAAAGCCACAAGGAAUAUAGUUCUUUAGUUGGAAAUGGUAUUUUCUCCAUCUACAAGAUGUGGAAAAUAGUAUACACAUAGUAUGUUUGACUCUGUAAAACUGACGUCAGAAUUCCAGAAGAUCCUUCGUCCUCUAGAGAAAUGAGUCAACAAAGGGAAUUUGAGGAAGGGGGUAGUGCUGGAAAACUGAAGCAGGAGAGACUUGAUAAGUGAUUGAGCAAAGGAGCUGUCAAUUAUUUCUGUUCAGCAAAUCAGUUCCCAGCAAAUUAGCCCACAACAAAUUAGACCACAAGAAACAAGACCCCCAAAGGGUGGUUCUAAAGGAAGCCCAAGGCUUGAAAGGAGGGAAUGUAAGGCAAGCAGACCCUAGUGAAAGAUGUGGCUGUCGUGGAGGCCAGACCCAACUGCCAUGUUAGGCUGAUGGAUGAGGACCAAAGGCUUUGGAGAAAGGUAGAGUCAGUUUUCAUUUCUGGCUGGUUGUCGGUUCCUCAGCCAAACAAAAACUGCAAGAAAGUAAAACAAGCAGAGAGAAAAGGAUCAAGACCAGAGGUAGAAUUUGGAACCAUGCAAAAUACCAGGAGAGAUGUAAAAGGAGAGGCUUGCCCCAAAGCCCAGAGAUAGAAAGUGUCCCUCUCACCUAAAGGACCAGAAGAAGGUGGGCCUGGCAGGCCCAGUCCAGAGGAAAUGGACGAGAGCCCCCUUGCUGGUGCAAAGGAUGUGGAGAAGGUUCCCGGCAGGAUGGAAUUCUUACCUGACUUGCAGCUGGACCAACCCAAGCCUGUGGUGGGUUUUAAGCCUUUGCCAUUUAUCCAGGUCAUAACGAGGAUAAAAGGUCAAGGAAGGGUCCAGUGGGAUGAAGAAUGAGAGGAGGAGGACAGAAAGCAGUCACAUACUCCUGGCUGCACUUUCCCUUCCAUAAAACAAACUUAUAUCAUCUCCACCUCAUAGGGGUAAAAUCCUAUGACUCUCAAACAAGUUUCUUGCAAAGAACAUGUAAAAUAAGUAUUUUUGUAGGUAGCAAUAGUUAUAGAAAAUUUUUUCAUGUUCAACUUUUGCCUAAGUGUAGGCUCUGGCUCCCUUCUCGCUGGCUGCUACAGCCACCUGCAGAAGCCCAGAGCAGGAGCCUACCUUCCUAUUAAAUGACAAAUGGAACUGCUCCUUUUGGCGACCAGCAACCAGGAGAUACCAGGGAUGGGUGAGUGCAUCUACCUAGUUGUUCACCUCUCCUAGCACAAACAGAGGAUGUGGGGAAACAGUGGGAGAGUGAACACUUUGACAAGAAAGGGAGCAUUUUGGAGGAAUAUUUACUGGGGAAAUUUCUCUCUUUACCUAAGUACAGUGUUCAGGAAUCUCUGUGUUGCAAAUAGGGACAGCAGCUGAGAUUCAUGUGCCUCCUGGGUAUGUGGCCACCAGUGACCACCUCAGAAGGCCUCAGGUGCCGCCUAGGAUCAGCCCUGCCUGUGCAGUCCACAGCCUGUUACUCCAGUUCGUGAACCGAACUCAUCUUGGCCAGGGCUAUCCACCAACUCCUAAGGUUUGAAAUGCAAUGCUGAGCUUUUUGGGUAAAAACAAGCCCUUUCUUUUUCUCACACGUCAUUUGCUUUGGUAGGGCUCCCAGGAUUGAAUGUUUUGUAUCUGCCAUUUCUCUGCAGCUCAGCUAUUCCCUGCUGUUAUCUUUGGCUCUGUUGCUAUGGGCGGGAAUAUUUUUUUGUCCUGGCUUAAUAACUCCUUGGCUGCCAGCAGUGCUCAUUUCUCAUUGUAUUGGUGGAGGAUUAGUGUAGAUGUUUGGGAGAUAUUUCCUGUAUUAAGCAGCAGGGGAGAGCUUGCUGGACCUGGGCCUUCUUUUGACAUUGAAUCACACUUUUUUUCCCUCACUUUAACUCUUGGAAUGUGCUGAGGCCAGUCGUUUGCACUCAGAGCAGCUACUCCUCCCUGGCAUUUUGCAGCUCUGCAGCUCUUCUCCAGGUGCCCUUCCAUCGAUGCUUCUUGGGGAGGCUGCAGUGAGUCUCAAGCAAUCACCUUGGCUGGGUUUUUGUCUUUGUCUUUUCUCUUUUUUUACAUUUGGGGCUUAAUAGUAUACUGCAUCACCAAUUCACUUUCCAGGGUUAAUUGACUUUAAGCCCAUUUCAUACUUCAAAUUCUUUGACCAUUAACUCACCACCUUUCUCUUGGAGCUACCAGCCUCUCCACAGCUAACUUGAACCAAGUAAUCUGUGAUGCCUAAGGAUCCUGGGAUAUAUGUUUGCACUCUGUUUGCAACUAUAAAUUAACUGCUUAUAGAGUUUUAGUACCCUCGUGUCUGCCUAAAACAAUUCUCAAACAAUAGAAAGAAGCUAUUAAUAAAAGUUGCCAAAGGAGAAUAAAAAUCAAUGACAUUUUAGUCCAUACUGGAUUGAGAUAAAGAAGAAUGAAUGCUGAAACUGGCUGGAAAUCUUUGUUAGAGUCGGGUGGCAUCACAGUGAAAAUUACAUAGGGUUUGGAGUUUGAGGCCACUGCUUAAAGCUCUGGGAACCUGGUUCCACCAUCUUGGUCCAUAAAGUGGAAACUGAAACCUGUGAAAGUAUUGAGAAAAUGGCUGCCAUUCCUAUCCCUGCCCUUACUUUGUGGAGGAACAACAUACCUGAUCGGUGAAUUGGAAAUAAAGAGAUUCCUUGUGUGGUACUCCGUCUCUCAGGGGUCUGUCUUCAGACCAGCUGUAUUCCACCCAGCCCCAACUUCCAUUGCUGAGGCCAUGGCCAGGCCCAGGCCCACCUUGCUUUUCUUGGAGAAAGUGAUAGUGAUUCCAGACAAAUAUAU